Molecule: ribosomal RNA, 396 nt
Filed under: uncultured bacterium
Lineage: Bacteria
Description: bacterial SSU rRNA
Rfam family: Bacterial small subunit ribosomal RNA
Source: RNAcentral
UAACGCGAAGAACCUUACCAAGGCUUGACAUACACCGGAAACGGUCAGAGAUGGUCGCCCCCUUGUGGUCGGUGUACAGGUGGUGCAUGGUUGUCGUCAGCUCGUGUCGUGAGAUGUUGGGUUAAGUCCCGCAACGAGCGCAACCCUCGUUCUAUGUUGCCAGCGCGUUAUGGCGGGGACUCAUAGGAGACUGCCGGGGUCAACUCGGAGGAAGGUGGGGAUGACGUCAAAUCAUCAUGCCCCUUAUGUCUUGGGCUUCACGCAUGCUACAAUGGCCGGUACAAAGGGCUGCGAUACCGUAAGGUGGAGCGAAUCCCAAAAAGCCGGUCUCAGUUCGGAUUGAGGUCUGCAACUCGACCUCAUGAAGUCGGAGUCGCUAGUAAUCGCAGAUCAGCA